RNAcentral lists this transfer RNA (68 nucleotides) under Dyscia crassipunctaria. RNAcentral's name for it is "transfer RNA-Leu". Lineage: Eukaryota; Metazoa; Arthropoda; Insecta; Lepidoptera; Geometridae. The record is from RNAcentral.
GCYAUUUUGGCAGAAAAAUGUAAUGAUUUUAGAAUUCAUAAAUAUAUAACYCAUUUAUAUAGAUAGUA